This 2028-nucleotide ribosomal RNA is filed under the name marine metagenome. Its description in RNAcentral is "bacterial LSU rRNA". It matches the Rfam family "Bacterial large subunit ribosomal RNA", at positions 1 to 1975 of the family's 2925-position model. The record is from RNAcentral.
AAAAGUUACAUAUAAGUAUAUAACGGAUACCUAGACUGGUACUUCCGACGAAGGACGUUGAAAGCUUACGAAAAGCUUCGGGGAGCGAGCAAUCACGCUAUGAUCCGGAGAUCUCCGAAUGGGGAAACCCAUCCCGCUUGCGGGAUACCCUGUGCCCAAAACCAUUAAGCACAGGGAGGGAAGUCGGCGAACUGAAAUAUCUCAGUAGCCGGAGAAAAUAAAUCAAUAGAGAUUCCCUGAGUAGCGACGAGCGAAAAGGGAACAGCCCAAACCUCAAUUUAUUGAGGGGUUGUAGGACUUCAAUAUCUGUGUUGUUAUGCAUAAGAAAAGACUUUGGAAAGAGUCGCCAUAGAGGGUGAUAGCCCCGUAUCUGAAAUGCAUUUCGCACGGUAGAAUGUUCCUGAGUAGGGUCGGACACGAGAAAUCCGGCUUGAAUCUGGGAGGACCACCUUCCAAGGCUAAAAAGAGUACCAGAUCGAUAGUGAACAAGUACCGUGAGGGAAAGGUGAAAAGAACCCCGGGAAGGGGAGUGAAAUAGAUCUUGAAAUUAUAUACUUUCAAAGAGUGGGAGCCCGUUUACGGGUGACCGCGUGCCUUUUGUAGAAUGAGCCAACGAGUUAGUCGUAUGGGGUAGGUUAAGCCAGUUACAGGCGGAGCCAGAGCGAAAGCGAGUCCGAUAAGGGCGUUUAUCUCAUGCGCUAGACCCGAAACCAGGUGAGCGAACCAUGGGCAGGUUGAACUCAGCUUAACCGCUGGGGGAGGACCGAACCACCGAGUGCAGCAAAACUCUUGGAUGACCUGUGGUUAGUGUUGAAAUUACCAUCGAACCUGGAGAUAGCUGGUUCUCUCCGAAAUAUAUUUAGGUAUAGCCUCUUGUUUUUAGCAUCGGGGGUAGAGCACUGUUUGGGGAAGGGCGGUAAACAACUGUACCGACUCCUAGCAAACUUCGAAUACCGAUGUGAUUAUCAAGGGAGUCAGUCUGCGACAGCGAAGUGCCGUAGACGCGAGGGAAAGAGCCCAGAUCACCAGCUAAGGUCCCUAAUGUUAUCUGAGUGGUAAAGGAGGUAGAAUUGUAUAAACAGCCAGGAGGUUGGCUUAGAAGCAGCCACCCUUUAAAAAGUGCGUAAUAGCUUACUGGUCGAACGAUUCUGCGCCGAAAAUCUAACGGGGCAAAGAUAGCAACCGAAGCUGUGAAUUCUAAUUUAUUAGAAUGGUAGGAGAGCGUUGUGGGAGCAUUGAAGCGGAGCUGCGAGGCUUUCCGUGGAGCGACCACAAGUGAGAAUGUUGGCAUGAGUAACUUUAAAGAGGUGAAAACCCUCUUCGUCGAACACCCAAGGUUUCCGAUCCACUGGCAGUCAGGGUCGGGUUAGUCGGUCCUAAGGCGAGGCUGAAAAGCGUAGUCGAUGGACAUCUGGUUAAUAUUCCAGAACCGUAGAAAGAUGUGAUGGCGUGACGCAUGGGGAAAAUUGGCUUCCGGUAAAUGAAUUCCGGGGCAAGCAGUAAGCUUAUGAUUUGGUAGGAAAAUCCGCCAGAUUUCGCGAGCUGUGAUGCAUAUAUGCUUUGGCGCGAGCCAGAGAUAAAGUCAUGAUUCGUGUGCCAAGAAAAGCGUCUAAACUUAGUCUUUCUAUGACCGUACCGCAAACCAACACUGGUGGGUGGGUUGAGUAUACUCAGACGAACGGGAUAACUGAGCUUAAGGAACUCGGCAAUACAGCGUCCGUAACUUCGGGAUAAGGACUCCCCGCACCUUUUUGUGCCAUGAUUUUUGUCAUGAACACAGGAAGACGCCGAGAAACCUUUUUGUAAUUCGACUUUAAUCGGACACAAAAAGGUGCGGGGCGCAGUGAAAGAUGCCAUGCAACUGUUUAUCAAAAACACAGGUCCGUGCUAACUCGCAAGAGGAUGUAUACGGGCUGACCCCUGCCCAGUGCCAGAAGGUUAAGAGGAGUGGUUCACGCUACGAAUUGAAGCCCUGGUGAACGGCGGCCGUAACUAUAACGGUCCUAAGGUAGCGAAAUUCCUUGUCGG